Bufo bufo (common toad) is the source of this 240-nucleotide long non-coding RNA. RefSeq lists it as uncharacterized. The transcript is spliced from 3 exons. The record is from RefSeq and is a predicted model, not a curated record. NCBI's taxonomy places the organism in Eukaryota, Metazoa, Chordata, Amphibia, Anura, Bufonidae.
CCUGGUCGGUAGUCAGAGCUCUUGUUCUCUCUGGUAUCAGCCAUUCCUCCAGCCUGCAGGCGCCUGCAGUACUAGAAGCCUCCAGCUCCUCCAGUUCUCUCCUCUUCUCCUGAAUGACCACCAAGGAUAGACAGGAAGGAAAUCAGCAGAAUAAUAUUAGACCUCACCUUGGAGAUCAUCUCCCUGCUAGAGGAGUACACAAUAGUGAAGAAGACAUCGGGGGACUGUGUGACUCCCAUC